GAUUAAGAGGGAAACCCUCUCUUCAAUUUUUUAUUUUUACAUUCUUUAUUUUUUCAGUUCAGAUAAGAGAAAAAAUAAGGGAAUUGCAUUAACAAAUGUGUAAUGUGCACAACAGUGAGAAAAGAUGUAACUAAGCCAAUAUAACACGUGCUGGGCAAGAUGCAUACGUCUGAGCUCAAAACAUAUGCUGCAGUGCUUUCAAACUUUGUACGAUUGUGCAUGCUGGGGUAACUAGGUUCCGUUAUUUGAAAGAGCUCAUCCCAAUGAGUCCUAAGGAGUUCACUACGGGUUGCUUCCAAGUUGGAGAUGAGUCUGUUAGAGUGGGAAUGGGUUCUAUU
Non-coding RNA from Pelobates cultripes (western spadefoot toad), 338 nucleotides. Lineage: Eukaryota; Metazoa; Chordata; Amphibia; Anura; Pelobatidae. The record is from the annotation of a GenBank genome assembly.